This 403-nucleotide ribosomal RNA is filed under the name Fusobacteriota bacterium. RNAcentral describes it as "Fusobacteria bacterium partial 16S ribosomal RNA". It matches the Rfam family "Bacterial small subunit ribosomal RNA", at positions 355 to 776 of the family's 1533-position model. Lineage: Bacteria; Fusobacteriati; Fusobacteriota. The record is from RNAcentral.
UGGGGAAUAUUGCACAAUGGAGGGAACUCUGAUGCAGCGACGCCGCGUGAACGAAGAAGGCUUUCGAGUCGUAAAGUUCUUUUAUAUGGGAAGAUAAUGACGGUACCAUAAGAAAAAGCCCCGGCUAACUACGUGCCAGCAGCCGCGGUAAUACGUAGGGGGCUGGCGUUGUCCGGAAUCACUGGGCGUAAAGGGUUCGCAGGCGGAGAUGCAAGUCAGGUGUAAAAGGCAGUAGCUUAACUACUGUAAGCAUUUGAAACUGCAUAUCUUGAGGGGAGUAGGGGUAAGUAGAAUUUGUAGUGUAGCGGUGAAAUGCGUAGAUAUUAAAAAGAAUACCGGUGGAGGAGGAGACUUGCUGGGCUCAUUCUGACGCUGAGGAACGAAAGCGUGGGUAGCAAACAGG